This 220-nucleotide ribosomal RNA is filed under the name Acinetobacter baumannii. RNAcentral describes it as "partial 16S ribosomal RNA". It matches the Rfam family "Bacterial small subunit ribosomal RNA", at positions 547 to 752 of the family's 1533-position model. Lineage: Bacteria; Pseudomonadati; Pseudomonadota; Gammaproteobacteria; Moraxellales; Moraxellaceae. The record is from RNAcentral.
GUCGGACAAAGUAUCGGAUUUACUGGGCGUAAGCGUGCGUAGGCGGCUUAUUAAGUCGGAUGUGAAAUCCCCGAGCUUAACUUGGGAAUUGCAUUCGAUACUGGUGAGCUAGAGUAUGGGAGAGGAUGGUAGAAUUCCAGGUGUAGCGGUGAAAUGCGUAGAGAUCUGGAGGAAUACCGAUGGCGAAGGCAGCCAUCUGGCCUAAUACUGACGCUGAGGU